Molecule: long non-coding RNA, 7376 nt
Filed under: Ricinus communis (castor bean)
Lineage: Eukaryota; Viridiplantae; Streptophyta; Magnoliopsida; Malpighiales; Euphorbiaceae
Description: long non-coding RNA (RCOM_LNC002739)
Source: RNAcentral
CACCACAUGGACAUCUUUUGGCCGAGGAAGUUAUGGAGGACUCGCCUAAGAAAAAGGGAGAGAAGCCACCACCGAAGCACAAGCCACCACAUGGACAUCUUUUGGCCGAGGAAGAGGUCGAGGACUCACACAAAGGGAAGGGAGAGAAGCCACCACCAAAGCACAAGCCACCACAUGGACAUCUUUUGGCCGAGGAAGAAGUUGAGGACUCACACAAGGGAAAGGGAGAGAAGCCACCACCAAAACACAAGCCUCCGCAUGGACAUCUUUUAGCUGAAGAAAAAGUUGAGGACUCACACAAGGGAAAAGGAGAGAAGCCACCACCAAAACACAAGCCCCCGAAUGGACAUCUUUUAGCUGAAGAAGAAGUUGAUGACUCACACAAAGGAAAGGGAGAGAAGCCACCACCAAAGCACAAGCCACCACAUGGACAUCUUUUGGCCGAGGAAGAGGUCGAGGACUCAUACAAAGGAAAGGGAGAGAAACCACCACCAAAACACAAACCUCCACAUGGACAUCUUUUAGCCGAGGAAGAAGUUGAGGACUCACACAAGGGAAAGGGAGAGAAACCACCACCAAAACACAAGCCCCCACAUGGACAUCUUUUAGCCGAGGAAGAAGUUGAUGACUCGCACAAGGGAAAGGGAGAAAAGCCACCACCAAAACACAAGCCACCUCACGGGCACUUAUUAGUUGAAGAGGUUGAAGACUCACACAAGGGGAAAGGAGAAAAACCACCGCCAAAGCACAAACCACCUCAUGGACACCUUUUAGCUGAAGAGGCCAACGACUCUCACAAAGGAAAGGGAGAGAAGCCACCAUGCAAGUCUCCUCACAAACCCCCAUCAGCCAACUAAGUGCCUUACGCUAAUUUCGCUAGAUGCUUAAAAAUAAGAAACAGAAGUAGUUUACUCUUCUGUUGGUUUCUGUAUCUGCAUUUUUCACUGAAUUAGUAUUUGUACUUUGGCUUGUAUUAUAUGAGUACUACCCUCUAGUUGGCUGUUUUAUGUAGAUUAUGGUUUUAUGUUCUAGUGCUGCGCGUAUUAUUUCAGUUGACUUAACUUUUAUUUGCAAAAUAUACAGCAAGACAUGCACACAAUCCUAGUACGUAGUUUUGCCACAUGCAUAUAUUUGGUGGUAGGAUAUUGUCAACGACAACAACGUUUAAUUACUUUAACUUAAACACGUGCUGAUGAUUUUUUUUUUUGUAAAAGCCCUUUAUUAGUAAACUAGUAUUACUCUGACAUCAACAGAUAUACCAUAGGUUUUGUCUAAAACUUGAAGGUUUCUGUAGUUUAAUUUGGUAAGUAAAAUUUUUUGUGUGUAGCACAUAAUGAAUAUGUUACUUACAUGUGUAGAUUUAUAUUUUACAUUUUAUUUUAAUAUUAGAUAAUUAAUAUAUAUAUAUUUAAUUAUUUAAAUUUAUAUAUAUUACUAAUUUAUUAAUUUAGUCUAUAUAUAUAUAUGAUAUACAUUUAAGUUAAAUUAGGUAAGAAGUUAUUAAGUACUUCCAAAUUAAUAUGAAAUAAUUCUCUAAAGGAAAUGAAUCAACUCUUGGAAAAUGUCGGGAGAAAAGAUUUCAAAUUUCUGCAUGUCUCUGUUUCUGCUCAGUGGAUGUCUCUGUUUCUGCUUGCUGCCUAUGUUGCAAUAUUUAUUUGGCUUUUUAUUCCUGGUAAAUUUCUUAUUUUCCUCUUAAUUUUGACUAGGCCGGCUGAUUCGGGAGUAAGAUUUAAGUAGUUUUAUAUUUAAUGAAAAGUAGAAUUCUGAAGAAGCGAAAAUAAAUAUAAAAAGGGAUAAUUGGUGUUCUGAGUGAAUCAUUAUUAAACACAAAAUUAGUAUUACAAACAAAAUUGCAAUUAUCAAAAUGACAGUAUGCUCCACAGAUAGAUGAUUAUCUAAUCAGUACUUAUAAUUAGCCUAAAUUUAAUAGGAAUAGUACAGAAUUAAACUUUCUUUUUUAAAAAAAGGGUCAUUAAACUGAAUCAUAAGAACAGGAUAGAGAGUAUUUGUAAUCAAAGAAACAUAGAGAGAAUUCAAAGUAAUGCCCCCAGAUGAUAGCCCUGAACAAUAAAUAUUACUUAGAAAAACAAACUGCCAAGAGAAAUUAGUCAAUAAAAUUUAGAUUGAAUCACGAUAUUUAUAAACGAGUAGAUAAAUAUAUCUUUUUUAUUAAAAAAUAAUAUUGCAUAAUUCAUCUUAAUUUAUUUCAACUUUUACUCAUAAAAUGUGAUAUAUAAUAUAUUUAUAAAAUUAUUAAUAUUUUGAUAUUACUCUCUUAAUUAAUAAAUAAUUCCAUAAAAACAUCAUACACCAUAUUAUAUAAACAAUAGUUGGGACAAAUCAAAAUGAAAUGUUUAGCAUUUUUCUAGUUAAAACCUAUUCUACAAUUCAAACCAAAAAUAGCAGUCCAAGAAAGCAUAUCUUUCACUAAUAAUCCAAACAAAUCGCUAAUUCUAAACAACCACGUUUUGGUUAAAAGAUUAUUAAUUUAGUUUGUCUAAUAAUUCGAUCCUGAAUUUGCUGAGCCGCAGUAGGAUCUCGCUCGUAUAUACAAAUCCUGAAGAAGAUCACUAUAAAUUUCUGAUCCAAUAAUGAAACUUUGAAGUCCAUAAGUAGGUUUAGGAGAAAUUUAAAGGCAGAUUCAGUUUUAAUAUUAAAUUAUAAAUAAUAUCAAUUAUACAGUAAUAUAUAACAUUAUUUACUGAUUAUUACACUUAUAUCAGUUGAAUUCUAGCCAUAAAUAAUGAAUGGUAUGGAUAGUAGUACUUAAAAAGAAUAAUCUCCAUAUAUAUAUAAAUGCAUGGAAUUUAAUAACUUUCACACCUAUGAAAUUAUCCCACCUAAAACAGAAAACCUUAGUAUUAAAUUGAGAAUAAUGCAGAAAUAUAAAUAUUUGAAAUAAUUACAAAUAAUGCAGAAAUACAAGGACCGCAGGAAAACAGAGGCCACACACUCUUGGCUGGAAUGAUUUUCCUAUUUUUGCAUGCUCACCCAUUACUCUACUCUAUCGCAUUAUUAUUGUUCAAAACUUCACAACUUAACAAAUAUACUUCCAACACAUCACAUGCGUGACCCAUUAAUUAUUACAUGUGAACGUAAAAUGAGAAGUGGUGACAACAGCAGUGAUGUCACACUUUCUGAUAUUACUACAAUUCUUGGAUGACUUACCUUAAUUCCUUUCUGGUGCAUGUUGCAGUAAUUUAUUAGAAAUACAUAAGACCUUUUUUUUCUUCCUAUCUCUUUGUUUCAUUGUAGAAUAGUCCGAGACAACGAUAAUAUCUUACACUUAAUUUGUCUGUAAAUAUAUAUACACUUGACUUUACAUGCUAUAGUAUUAUUAACUAGUCACCUAGACAGAUUUGAAGUAGAUAAUAUUUAUCGAUAAAUUACUUUCUAGAUUUCUAUUUUAUGGUUACAUACAUCAAAAUUUCUGCAAAACAAGUGGAGAAUAGCCUAAUUUGGGGAUUCAAAGAAACUUUGAUGGCUUCUUUUUCUACUCGAAAUUAUACUAAAAAUAAUUCAUAAACAUGAAUGAUCCAAGGGUGGAGAGCAAGACUCUUAGCCAGUUUGUCAAAAAUUUUAACUCGAUGGGACCCAAUAGAUCUAAUUGGUUCGUAAGAGAGCCAAAUGUAUUCAACUUCACUACAUAGUGUACUAAUCUAUAGUAAAGGACAGGUGCAGUAUGACAUGGGUGGUGACGACAUAGUCCCACCGUCCACCCAUGCAAUAUUAUAAAAGGCAGAGCAAAGCUUCAAGUUUUGCACCAUCAACUGAACCCCAAAUAUGUCUUCUAAAUACUUGCUAGUGUUGUUCCUCCUCGGAGCAUUAGUGCUUCUCUUCACAACCCCCUCAUAUGCUGAUCAUCAUGAGCCCCUUAGAAAUAAAGGAGAGAAACCACCUCCAAAACAUAAACCACCACAUGUUCAUCUUCUAGCUGAAAAUAUAGAAGAUUUUCAUGGACAUGCAAAAGGUAAAAGAGACAAGCCACCACCUAAACAUAAACCACCACAUGGACAUCUUUUAGCUGAGGAAGUAGAUGAUUAUUCUACAUCUCCGGGAUGGAAACUACAUAAUCCUCCAUCAGAGCAUAAACCACCGCAUAAGCCUCCACAUGAGCAAAAGCCACUAAAUAGACGUCUUUUACAAGUAGAUAUUGAGGAUGCACAUAAAGAAAAGGGAGAGAAGCCACCACAUGGACAUCUUUUGGCCGAGGAAGUUAUGGAGGACUCGCCUAAGAAAAAGGGAGAGAAGCCACCACCAAAGCACAAGCCACCACAUGGACAUCUUUUGGCCGAGGAAGAGGUCGAGGACUCACACAAAGGGAAGGGAGAGAAGCCACCACCAAAGCACAAGCCACCACAUGGACAUCUUUUGGCCGAGGAAGAAGUUGAGGACUCACACAAGGGAAAGGGAGAGAAGCCACCACCAAAACACAAGCCCCCGCAUGGACAUCUUUUAGCUGAAGAAAAAGUUGAGGACUCACACAAGGGAAAAGGAGAGAAGCCACCACCAAAACACAAGCCCCCGCAUGGACACCUUUUAGCUGAAGAAGAAGUUGAUGAUUCGCACAAGGGAGAGGGAGAAAAGCCACCACCAAAACACAAGCCACCUCACGGGCACUUAUUAGUUGAAGAGGUUGAAGACUCACACAAGGGGAAAGGAGAAAAACCACCGCCCAAGCACAAACCACCUCAUGGACACCUUUUAACUGAAGAGAUCAACGACUCUUACAAAGGAAAGGGAGAGAAGCCACCUCACAAGCCUCCCCACAAACCCCCAUCAGCCGACUAAGUACCUUAGGCUAAUUUCGCUAAAUGCUUAGAAAUAAGAAACAGAAGUCUACUCUUCUGUUGGUUUCUGUAUCUGCAUUUUCACUGAAUUAGUAUUUGUACUUUGGCUUGUAUUAUAUGAAUACUACCCUCUAGUUGGCUGUUUUAUGUAGAUUAUGGUUUUAUGUUCUAGUGCUGUGUGUAUUAUUUCAGUUGAUUUAACUUUUAUUUGCAAACUAUACAGCAAUACAUGCACUUACUCCUAGUACGUAGUUCUGCCACAUGCAUAUAUUUGGUGGUAGGAUAUUGCCAACGACAACAACGUUUAAUUACUUUAACUUAAAUCAAAUAUGAAAUGAUUCUCUUAAUUAAAACUAAAUUUUUUUUAUACCCUAAUUUAACCCUUAUUUAUUAAUUAUAUUUAUUAAAUCUCUUAUUAGUUAAAGUAUAUAUAAUAAAACUAGGUAAGAAUGUGUGAGAUUUCAAAUUUCUUCAUAUCUGUCACUGGUUAUUUCAUGUCUCUGUUUCUGCUUGCUGCCUAUGUUGCAACAUUCAUUUGGCUUCUUAUUCCUAGUCAAUUACUUAUUUGCCUCUCGAUUUUGACUAGGUCGAUAGUAAGCUUAAAGUUUAAUUUCAAACAGUUUCAUAUUUAAAGAAAAGUAGUAUUUUGAAGAAGCGGAAAUAAACACAAAAAAAAGAUAGUUGGUGCAAUGAGUAAAUCAUUUUCAAAUAUAAAAUUAUUAUUACAAGCAAAAUUGGAAUUAUUAGAAUGACAGUAUGCUCCAAAGAUAAGAGUAUAAUAUGAAUAGUACAAAAUUAGCCUUUUUCUUUAAACAAAAUAAUUCAGUAAACUGAUCAUAAGAACGUAAUAAAGAGUAAAAUUCUAUCCUACAUUUGUAUUUCAAAAGUAAAAAAUAUUAAUUUUUAAAUACAUUUGGUUCUCAGUGAUUGACAAGAUAAAAUCUUAUUUAACUUUCUCCUUAUAGAGUAGGAAUUCCAGAUACAUAUUAUCUUACCAAGGGUUUGAUAAUGACAUUUUAAUUACAGCACCACUAUAGACAAGUAGCCAUUGUUAAUGGAGGUUAUCAUUCCAAUUUCCCUCUUGUGAAGUUAUUAAUUUGUGGAGAUUAUAAAGGACUCCAAUCUUUAACCCUUCCAAUGAGUUAAAAAAAUAUAAAAUAUUUCUUAUCAAAUUGCACCAUCAACAACUCAUACGAAUGCCACCUUUAUGGCCGCAAAACAGAGUGCUUGAUAACCAAAUUUAAGAUAAAUCUCAAUUCGACGGUAAGUGCAUCACUUAGAUUUGUUACAUCCUAAUAAUAUAUACUAAAUUUAUAAAUAAUUAAUAUAUAUUUUAUUAAUUUAAAUAAUAAAAUAUAUAAAUUAUAUAUAUAUCAACUGCCAGUGGUACCUUUUUUAAACUAAAGGAAGCUAUUAGUGGAGACAAGCUUUAGAAGUGAACGCCACUCAUCUGCUAAACUACAAAAGAUGCCACCACACCUCUGACGUCAAAUGAUAUGCAUGUGCUCUAGUCACUGUUGAAACUAAGAAAUUAUUAACCGUGAGCCUAAUAUCCAAAGAACCUUUGGAUCCAAUCAAUUGAUUUUAGAUAAACUAUGGUGAAAAUAUAUCAUUUUUCGUUACUCUUCAGCUUUCCACCAAAUUCAGCCCCCCAAAAGUUCAAGAAAAAAAAUUAAUACCAAGGAUAAUAUAAAUUCCAAGAGUUUAGGCGAAUAAUUUUUUUUCUGAUCAGCAUUUUGCAAUUAGUUGAAAAUUGGAACUUGCCAGAAGCUGUGCAGCUCAAUUUUAUCAGGCACAUACGAAAACACACUUCCUAUUUCUCUGAAAGUUUGUCUUGCAGCAGUUUAAGAUGAACAAAAGCAAGUUGGUUUUCUGCUUGUAAUUUACAACUCAAUUAGAUUAUAGAAGAAAUUAAAACAGUAAUAUGUAAUUCUUUGGGGCAUAACCUUUAAUACUACUGAUAAGUAUAACGGAUACGUUCCUAAAUUAUAUUGUACUAAAUUUACAACCGCAAGGAGAUCCAAGUUGGAGAGUUAAUAAUCACACUAGGUUAGGAGAAAGAGCAAUAACUUGGCCAUAUUGUCAAAGUUUUCAACUAGUUGGAACCCGGUGGAUCUUCUUCUCUAAACCGGUGGAUCUUCUUCUCUAACAUGAAAUUUUAAACAGCCAACUUGACUGCAUAGGGUACUAGGUUAGUAAAGACAAGAAAGUAUGACAUGAACAAAAACCACUUAAUAGACGUCUUUUACAAGUAGAUAUUGAGGAUGCACAUAAAGGAAAGGGAGAGAAGCCACCGCAUGGACAUCUUUUGGCCGAGGAAGUUAUGGAGGACUCGUAUAAGAACAAGAGAGAGAAGCCACCACAUGGACAUCUUUUGGCCGAGGAAUAAGUGGAGGAUUCACGCAAAGGAAACGGAGAGAAACCACCACCAAAACACAAACCUCCACAUGGACAUCUUUUAGCUGAAGAAGAAGUUGAUAACACACACAAAGGAAAAGGAGAGAAGCCACCACCUUAUGCGCACUUUUUAGUUGAAGAGGUUGAAGACUCGCACAAGAGAAAGGGAGAAAAACCACCGCCAAAGCA